UUGAACGCUGGCGGCAUGCCUUACACAUGCAAGUCGAACGGUAACAGGUCUUCGGAUGCUGACGAGUGGCGAACGGGUGAGUAAUACAUCGGAACGUGCCCGAGAGUGGGGGAUAACGGAGCGAAAGCUUUGCUAAUACCGCAUACGAUCUACGGAUGAAAGCAGGGGAUCGCAAGACCUUGCGCGACAGGAGCGGCCGAUAUCGGAUUAGCUAGUUGGUGAGGUAAAGGCUCACCAAGGCGACGAUCCGUAGCUGGUCUGAGAGGACGACCAGCCACACUGGAACUGAGACACGGUCCAGACUCCUACGGGAGGCAGCAGUGGGGAAUUUUGGACAAUGGGGGCAACCCUGAUCCAGCCAUUCCGCGUGAGUGAAGAAGGCCUUCGGGUUGUAAAACUCUUUCGGCAGGAACGAAACGGUCGUCUCUAAUAUAGAUGGCUAAUGACGGUACCUGAAGAAGAAGCACCGGCUAACUACGU
Molecule: ribosomal RNA, 480 nt
Filed under: uncultured bacterium
Lineage: Bacteria
Description: bacterial SSU rRNA
Rfam family: Bacterial small subunit ribosomal RNA
Source: RNAcentral